AACAGGCUUUAAGUAGGGCUUGUUUUAUGCUUUUUUGUUAUUAAUUGUGAGCUUUCAGGCCUUAGCUGCUGCCUGCUCUGGUGUUAGAAGUAUUUCCACUCCACUGGGCUCUCUGCAGUGCUCCACCUUGGGGGUGUCUGAGCCCCACAGGCUCGUGUCUUGCAAGGGUGUGCAAUCCCUAUAUUGCAGACAAGAACCAGGGCACAGGCUGGCAACGGCCGGGAGACCUCCCGAGAUGGGCACGCCACCGUCAGAUUUUGGGGAUCUUAUUUUUGCAGGCAGGCAGUGCCAAAUAGUGCUGUAGUGUGAUCCAGCCAAGCCAGGCACGUGGAAAAGGAGCCUUGCACGAGUGAAACCUGCAAGUCAAGCCACUAGCCGAGCAUCCCAUAGGAACAGGGACUAGGACAAGACGUUUCUGAGAUGCUAUUAGGCUAAUGUGACCUGAUCCAGCGGACUGCAGCAACAGCCUUCCAGGACGUCCGUCGACGGGGAGCGUGUAGCUUCACGCUGUCACCUCUCAUUGCCACUGCCUCGGGGAAGUGAUUCAGAUCCACAGAGGGGACAAAACGUUAUCAUGACUGGAUUUGAGCCCGAGCUCUCUGCCAGGCCCUUUGGGUAGAGAUGAGAACCACACAUUUUUGUUUGAGAAGUGGGAUGAGUCUGCUGAGAGGUGGUCAGGGUGUUCCUGGCUGGGACAAGUGUAGCAGACGUGCUGGGAGAUCAGAUGGACCGGUUCGCUCCGAGGCAGCACAGUUGGAGCCAUACACUGGUGUCCUCCUCCUCUGGGAUAGUCCCAUGUGAAGAGGUGACCUGGUGAAGGAUAGAUAUCUCUCCUCCCUCAGUGGCUUUAUACAUCGCUUCCUAUACUCACUGUGAUAUCUGACUUGGCAGCAGGAAUGAAAUCAACUUCUGUCAGAUGCUGAAGGCCACCAAAAUUGCCAAACUUUUCAUGUUUCCUCCACUUUGCUCGCUGGUUCUGGAACCAGAUCUGGAUACAGGCAAGAAAGAAAAGGCACAGAAAUGAACAGGAGAUGGAAGAGGAACUGCUCACAUCCAACUACUUUGCCUGCUCUCUGAGCAUCAAAAAACAUUGACCUCCAGCUUGGCAGAACCAGGAAUCUGAAGGAAAUCUAAAGGAAAACAUUGGGUUCAGCACAGCACCUUUCACAUUUUGCAUAGCAUGUGGGAUGUCUGGACUAUCAUGACAGCCUCUUUUCUCUCGCAGCUCACAGAAGAGCUAGGAUCUCCCUGUUUAAGGAAAGACAUUGUCACAGGGUGCAGCAGGUCUUCCAGGGCUCUCCUGGGAAAGCAGAUCCUUUCGUGGUGAAAGCUUUGCAGCAGUCAAGGCACGUGGCAUUCUGUUUUCCCUAGGAGGUGCAAUUUGUUGCAUGACAGGGCUCUUCUACCCUGUUCCCAAGUGAAUAGACUGGGAAAAGACCCACCUAGAUGUUUUGCUGGGCUGCAAUAAAAAUGUGUCACCAGUGGAGAUGUAGUAACAGGGUUCUUCCUAUAUUUAGCUGGUAACAUUUUGAAAUUCACAUAAGGGACCUAAGCAAAAGACCCAAGGGGAUGAAACCUUCUAAAUCAUUCAGCAGUCUGAGUAUGUUAUCUGCCAUCUCUUUUUCACUGGAAAACAGAUGACUCAUUUUCUCAGGGGAGUUUCUUUCAUCUGUCAGCUGAUUUGACCAGUCUGGCUUCUGGCUGAGGCACACAAGUAUUUAUUGUGCAGCCACAGUAGUGCAUCUUGCUGCAUUGCUGUGAAAAGUUGAAUCCCCCUUCCAUUGUAGUUUCUAGCUGGCUUAGGAACUUGCUGUUUGAAUGUAAGCAAGUGGUUCACAAGAGCACAAGGUGUUAGUGAUCAACACCAGAUGUUACUAGAUGUAAAUACGUAUGCAUUUUAAACCAAAUAAUGAGCAGCUCAAUUAUUUCUGCAUCUCUUGCCCAGGAAGUAAUGGGAAUGUCAGGACCCCUCUGCUAUAUUGCUGGUAGUUAGCAGUAUCUGAGGUUACUGAAAGGACAGUCUUGUUUAUCUGGGCUUGCAUGUGUUUGAGAAUUGCUUAGUCUAUAUGAACUGCUUCAUUCCCUUUCUACCAUGCAGGAGUUAUAUGGUGAAACAGCACCAUAAAAAUGACUCCACUUUAACAGCAACAAAGUGAUUGGAGGCAGAGGGGAGACUGAAGCCAAAAUUCAACCUCUGAAAUGCUCCUUCCAAAGUCUGCACACGGGAUAAAGUCCUCACUUCAGGGAUUAUUUUUUUUUUUUUUAAUAAGGGCAAAGCUGUGUUCACAGACUGAACUGCUCUUUUUUUUGCCCAACCAGCCCUCCAACAGCUACUGAUAUAAUUUACUCUCUUCACGCUACUAACUUUCAUUUUUCCAGUGUUCCUGAGCUAUGGCACUGAGAGCACAGUAUUCCCAUGCGUGUUCACGAAAGUCACACCAGUGCUAAAGCCAGGGACAAGUGCCUCCUUAAGCCUGCUUGAGAUUUCACAAAAGACUCAUUUACCCUCUCAGUGGUCAGCAGGUUGUCCAAGGAAACAAGGACUAAAACAGAGUGCAGAGAGAGGGUGACAAGUCCCAUGUUGUAGGAAUGGUCUCCAUUUGUUGCUCUGUAAGAUUGUCCAUUUGUUGUUCUCUUGCAGACACAUGACCAAUGAUCCAGAGCUUGCUGUACUAAAGAAUCAGCCUUUUCAUUAUUUUCCAGUCCUUUAAUCUUCUUACCACUUCAUAGCACUAUCAUUAAAGAUUUUACUGAUUAUGUAGUUCAA
Molecule: long non-coding RNA, 2767 nt
Organism: Aquila chrysaetos chrysaetos
Lineage: Eukaryota; Metazoa; Chordata; Aves; Accipitriformes; Accipitridae
Exons: 3
Source: RefSeq, a predicted model, not a curated record